This 403-nucleotide long non-coding RNA is filed under the name Lynx pardinus (Iberian lynx). The record is from RNAcentral. Lineage: Eukaryota; Metazoa; Chordata; Mammalia; Carnivora; Felidae.
GUGUGUGUGGCUUUUGUGAGGCAGGAGAGAGCGCGGAAUGGCAGGAAUGCUUCCUAACCCCGUGGCCCGACCGUCGCGGGAGAGACUGCCUGCAAACUCUGCGAACACGAUUCCUGCAAAGUCAUCUCCUCCCGCACAGCCGGGCGGGCCGGCCCGCCCCGCCCGCGGACAGCAGCACCCGCCUCCCUGCUCUCCCCUCGCUCCCGCCCCAGCCCUGCUCGCGGCGCGCAGAGUUGGGGUGCGGUGCGGGCUAUGUUUAGAAGCUUAUGUCAUCCCGACACCCUACUCUGCAGUGCUCCCAGGGGAGCCCGCAGGGCAGGUUUUCCUCUUCUUCGCGGGCGUGGGGGAUGGGGAAGGUGCCUCUACCCGCCCCACCCCCGCCAACACACACACAUACGCACCU